RNAcentral lists this ribosomal RNA (253 nucleotides) under uncultured bacterium. RNAcentral's name for it is "partial 16S ribosomal RNA". It matches the Rfam family "Bacterial small subunit ribosomal RNA", at positions 524 to 776 of the family's 1533-position model. The record is from RNAcentral.
GACGGAGGGGGCUAGCGUUGUUCGGAAUUACUGGGCGUAAAGCGUGCGUAGGCGGCCUUUCAAGUUGGGUGUGAAAGCCCGGGGCUCAACCCCGGAAAUGCGCCCAAGACUGUUUGGCUAGAGUCUCGGAGAGGUGAGUGGAACUCCCAGUGUAGAGGUGAAAUUCGUAGAGAUGACAUAGAACACCCAUUGCGAAGGCAGCUUACUACGCCUAUAUUGACGCUGAGGCACGAAAGCGUGGGGAUCAAACAGG